GCAUAUCAAUAAGCGGAGGAAAAGAAACCAACAGGGAUUGCCCUAGUAACGGCGAGUGAAGCGGCAAUAGCUCAAAUUUGAAAUCUGGCUCUUUCAGAGUCCGAGUUGUAAUUUGCAGAGGGCGCUUUGGCAUUGGCAGCGGUCCAAGUUCUUUGGAACAGGACGUCACAGAGGGUGAGAAUCCCGUACGUGGUCGCUAGCCUUUGCCGUGUAAAGCCCCUUCGACGAGUCGAGUUGUUUGGGAAUGCAGCUCUAAAUGGGAGGUAAAUUUCUUCUAAAGCUAAAUACUGGCCAGAGACCGAUAGCGCACAAGUAGAGUGAUCGAAAGAUGAAAAGCACUUUGGAAAGAGAGUCAAAUAGCACGUGAAAUUGUUGAAAGGGAAGCGCUUGCAGCCAGACUUGCCUGUAGUUGCUUAUCUGGACUUUUGUCCAGUGCACUCUUCUGCGGGCAGGCCAGCAUCAGUUUGGGCGGUUGGAUAAAGGUCUCUGUCAUGUACCUCUCUUCGGGGAGGCCUUAUAGGGGAGACGACAUGCAACCAGCCUGGACUGAGGUCCGCGCAUCUGCUAGGAUGCUGGCGUAAUGGCUGUAAGCGGCCCGUCUUGAAACACGGACCAAGGAGUCUAACAUCUAUGCGAGUGUUUGGGUGUCAAGCCCAGACGCGUAAUGAAAGUGAACGGAGGUGGGAACCCUUUGGGUGCACCAUCGACCGAUCCUGAUGUCUUCGGAAGGAUUUGAGUAAGAGCAUGGCUGUUGGGACCCGAAAGAUGGUGAACUAUGCUUGAAUAGGGUGAAGCCAGAGGAAACUCUGGUGGAGGCUCGCAGCGGUUCUGACGUGCAAAUCGAUCGUCAAAUUUGGGCAUAGGGGCGAAAGACUAAUCGAACUAUCUAGUAGCUGGUUCCUGC
Molecule: ribosomal RNA, 904 nt
Filed under: Coniothyrium concentricum
Lineage: Eukaryota; Fungi; Ascomycota; Dothideomycetes; Pleosporales; Coniothyriaceae
Description: LSU rRNA
Rfam family: Eukaryotic large subunit ribosomal RNA
Source: RNAcentral